This is a ribosomal RNA of 914 nucleotides. It matches the Rfam family "Eukaryotic large subunit ribosomal RNA", at positions 38 to 966 of the family's 3401-position model.
GCAUAUCAAUAAGGCGGGAGGAAGAAGGAAAACCAACAGGAGAUUGCCCCCAGGUAACGGGCGAAGUGAGAGCGGCAACAGCUCCGAAAUUUGAAAUCUGGCCCCCCAGGGCCCCGAGUUGUAAUUUGUAGAGGAUGCUUUUGGGCGCGGUGCCUUCCAGAGUUCCCUGGAACGGGACGCCAUAGAGGGUGAGAGCCCCGUCUGGUUGGACACCUAGCCUCUGUAAAGCUCCUUCGACGAGUCGAGUAGUUUGGGAAUGCUGCUCUAAAUGGGAGGUAUAUGUCUUCUAAAGCUAAAUACCGGCCAGAGACCGAUAGCGCACAAGUAGAGUGAUCGAAAGAUGAAAAGCACUUUGAAAAGAGGGUUAAAUAGUACGUGAAAUUGUUGAAAGGGAAGCGUUUGUGACCAGACUUGGGCCCGGUUGAUCAUCCACCGUUCUCGGUGGUGCACUCUGCCGGCCCAGGCCAGCAUCAGUUCGCGCCGGGGGAUAAAGGCUUCGGGAAUGUGGCUCCUCCGGGAGUGUUAUAGCCCGUUGUGUAAUACCCUGGUGCGGACUGAGGUUCGCGCUCCGCAAGGAUGCUGGCGUAAUGGUCAUCAGCGACCCGUCUUGAAACACGGACCAAGGAGUCGUCUUCGUAUGCGAGUGUUCGGGUGUCAAACCCCUACGCGUAAUGAAAGUGAACGCAGGUGAGAGCUUCGGCGCAUCAUCGACCGAUCCUGAUGUUCUCGGAUGGAUUUGAGUAAGAGCAUACGGGGCCGGACCCGAAAGAAGGUGAACUAUGCCUGUAUAGGGUGAAGCCAGAGGAAACUCUGGUGGAGGCUCGCAGCGGUUCUGACGUGCAAAUCGAUCGUCAAAUAUGGGCAUGGGGGGCGAAAGACUAAUCGAACCUUCUAGUAGCUGGUUUCCGCCGAAG